CUGCUGCUGCUUCGUCUACUAUUCAUUCACCUUGACUCGAUGACUGGUUAAGAUAACCCCGUUCAGAUGUGUUUUCUUUUUCUUUCCCCUUCUUCUUCUUCCCUUUUUUAUUCUUUUUUUAAACUAAACUUUUCUUCUCUCCCAAAAAAAGUUAUAAAAAGGAACGAAACAGAUUCAAGGAGAGCUCCAACAAACUGGAUGGCACACGCAUACUUUUCAGUCGAGGAAUACCAACUAGUUUUUGUGUUAUUCGAAUUUCUCUCUCUCUCUAGCUCCUUUAUUGUCGUCUUGUGUCACACCAAAAAGAUCGAAACUGAGGCGCAGUAAAAAUAAAAAAGAACAAGGGGAGAAAACAAAAAGAAGUGGUGGUUGGUGUCGCCAAAAAACUGAUCACGACCCGCACCGGAGCACCACCACCACGGAGACAAAAGCGAUAAAAACCGAGAAGGGCGGAGGGGGGUAGUAUCCAUAAAUUUAUUAACAGCAACUAUAAAGCCGAGCUGACAAACUCGGUGACUUGUGUCUUUUUUUUUCUUUUAAGGAUCUGUCUCGUUUGUUUCUUUUGGCAAACAAUUUCACAAUUUCUUUCCUUUUUGUUCUUUUUUUUGACAAAUCACUCGGUGAGUGUCGCCGUGUCAAAUGCGCGUGACAGGCAACGACGACACCAAAACUGGCAAACCAAAUGUGACGGGCGAGAGAAAAUGUUUUUUCGCUGCGACGAAUGUGUUGUUGGCAGCACACGACUGUUAUGAUUGGGCCGUUGUGCGCAGCUCAAGUGGUCCUCUUCAACUGGGCAACGUCAGAGGAGCAGCCACGUCUUGUUUCAUCAGUUCGUUCCGCCUUUUUCUUUCUCCCUUUUUACACACACACAGACGGACAGACAGACAGACACAUGUAGACUAUACUCUCGAUUCUUUUGGUGCAUUCUUCCGUUUCCCCUCCACCGUUUUUUUUUUGGGCUUUGCCCAGCUCUUGCCACACGGGACCCACCUUGUUUCCAACCCAAAGGACGGGCGCACGCUCCAUUUACAUCGGGCGCGCUGCUGAUCUGGAUGCCUUUUUUUCUUUUUCUUUUUUCCCAGCUGAUGGAAGCCCUCCCUGUUAAAAGUUGGAGGAAGAGAUGUAAAUGAGACACUUUUCAGCUGGCCGUUUACCAAAAGGAAAUCACCCAAUCGUGGGAUUCUUUUUCGACUCUCCCCAGAGAGCACACACCCUUGUCGUUUGCUGCUGCUGCGUUCGUUCGCCUGUGGCCAUUAACUCGUUUAUCUAUUGUCAGGUUUCUUUACUGUGUGUGUGUGUCCCAGAUCCGGUUAUCGACGAAUUUGCAAGCGCGCCCUUCUGAAAUUUAUCCUCGCCUCAAGUCCUACUAGGGAUCUGCCAAGGAUAUUCGAUCCGGAUUGAUUGGCUUUUGAUUGACGGCGCCUGGCGGAAGCUCCCAUUCCCCUAUAUACACCGGCUCCCACCGCCACCAGUUGAGUGCCGAGGAAAACGCCCUUGCACACGUCCAGCGCUGGAUUUUCUAAUGGAUUGGCGAUCACGAACGGUCGUUGGGCACGGGAGCGCCCCUGCCAUGCUUGGAGACCGCCAUUCCUGCCUUGUUAUGUGCCAUGCGCAUUAUCUGGCUCGCUCUCCGUGUGUAUUGUCUCCCACCAGACGGCCAAAUAACAAUCGACAUAACAAAUGGUUAAACAUGUCAUGCGUUUUAUAUGGCAUCAUCGAGUUCUUUUUUUUCUUUUUUGGCUUGUUUAGGUUUUACCAGCGGAACGAUAAUCAUCCCACAGCGGUCGCUUGUUUGUUUGUUAUCGCGCAAAUCCAGCGCAGCGUCCACAGCCCUUUGGGUCCUCACUGUCCUUCUCUCUUGCGUCGACGACGGAGCCUUUUUGAUUUCAAAACUUUUUCUUUUGAUUCUUCAAGCUGGGAAAAGGUGCAACGACUUUAUUUAAAUUUUUUUCUUUUUCAUUCUUCUGAUUCCUGGAUUUGAAACUUUUUUGGAGGAAUAAUACAAACGGAACAAUUGAAAGACACCUAUUUCGGGGGUUCAAAACCUUAAAAAAAAAAGUGAAACAAUGGAAGGGGAUUCAUGGGAAAAGUAAAAGAAAAAAAAACAUUUGAAACAUCAAAUGAAAUCGAAAAGAAGAAUCCACCAGGUGGUGAUUGGAAGAAUGAAAAAUAAUAAUAAUAAAAAAAAAGGUUUCUUGUUUUUUUGUGGGCGUGUUAAUUGUAAUGGACUUGGAAAAUUUGUGAGGCGCGAAACUUGGAACUUCGACCCCAGCAGCAGCAGCUCGUUGCUGCCUGCCCCCGGAAUGUAAAUGAGCCUUCUAAUUUCACCGCAUUGUAAAUUGCUCCUGUUCCAAUCUCCUCCCAGGGCAAGAAACGCGUACCUUAAUGUCUCUCUUUUCCAUUUUUCUACGUGUUUUUCCCUUCUUUAUUUUGUCUGGUCUUCUUUAUUUUGUCUGUUCGAAGAUGGGCCACACGCAACUUCGGACACUACGGAGGAGAGUAACGAUACACAAUCACAUUUGAAUGUGUCUGUACAUAGGCUUUUUAGAAACUCUCACAUUCCAUGAUUUGAAGGCCUAGAAUUAUGGAUGGGAUAUUCUAAUUUCUAACAAAAAUGCAUUUCACUACUCAUCAAGCAAGAUUUUUUCAAGCUAAGGUGGCAACGUUGAUAGUUUGACAGUCAACAACAAAAUGGCGGAGCAUUUGAGCAAGUUGGAUAUCGUUCAAACGACAGCAGCCUUAAAAUCCCUGCGUUCUCUGAGAAACAAUGUCGCUGCAUUAUUUUACAGCCUCACUGAAGGUAUCGGACUUCUAUCGGGAUAGGAUAGGAUAGUAAAGAAUCCAGAUUUUCAGCAGAGUUACAACAACAAUUGGUCACAGUUCAAAGUGGUAUCAAGAAUUUCGAAGAAGCUACACACAAUAUUUAUUCUGUUCAAGUCAAUGUGGGAAACAGUAGCCACUUAAAUCAGGAUUGCACCCCUGACGCCUUUAAUCUUUAUGAAUCCAUUGACUGAUAAUCUACAAGAUCUCAUUUGGUGGUAAGAAAUAUUUAAUUCAAUGACAUUUUCUUUUGUAUAGCUUGUAAAGUAUUCCUGUUAUGCUACAAAUUUAUUACUUAGUCAAAAUGCAUUGAAGUGUUCUACAUUGAUCCAUGGGAUAAGAGAUAUAUACUAUAUAUAAAUCUAAAUAUAUAGAAAUAAAUCUUGCCAUUACCCUUACUUAAAAUGCUGUUGAUUUUUAGAUUGGAAUGUUGCGCUGCCGUCGUUUAUAGGCCUACUAGUCGAAGACUCGAAACAACGAUGGUGAACAAAAUGGUGGAUCAAGCAAGAAGCAACAGCUGCCUUAAAAUCACUUCGAUAUCUGAGAAAAAAUGUCCCGACAUUGUUUCACAGCCCUGCACAGCCUCACUGAAGGUAUCGGACUUCAAUCGGGACAGGAAAUCACGGAAUCCAGAUUUGUAGCAGAGUUACAACAACAAUUGGUCACAUCAGUUGAAAGUGGUGUCAAGAAUUCAAAGCUAAAACUCUGCCACUUAUAGUCAAAAUGCACUCAAGCAUUCUACACAGACCCAUAUGCCAAGAGAAGCAGAAUCCAACAAACGUAGCAAGAAUGUCGUACCACAGUACAUAACUUAAACAAUCUGUCAAAUUGAAUCUCAAGUAAUUGUUUUUAUCGAGUAGACUACUAUUGGUAAUGUCAUCAACUCAGUAUGCCAUUCACUGGGGAAUAGUGUUAAGAUUUAAACAUUCAGGGAUCAAGUGCAGUGUUGCAGCAGGUAACUCUUGGGAAAAUCAUGAAUAGGGGAUUGUUGUUCACAAGAGGCUGUUGGUAGAGUGGGUCGUCAUGAAAGGCCCCACAAAAUACUCGAUGGAAGAUGGGAAAAUUGAUCUGUGGGGUAAACCUCGUUACAAAGUCUUCAGAAAAGUCACUGAAAACUCCAACCCAACUAUGCUCCACUUCUAUUCACCAGUUUUACCCUUAAAUUUUUCAUAAAUUUUUUUUUGUAACUAACGAGAAUUUGGACUCAAUGUAUUUCUGUAUCUU
This 4044-nucleotide long non-coding RNA is filed under the name Daphnia pulicaria. Its description in RNAcentral is "uncharacterized LOC124311617". Lineage: Eukaryota; Metazoa; Arthropoda; Branchiopoda; Diplostraca; Daphniidae. The record is from RNAcentral.